CAGCGAUAGCCUCAGUAACGGCGAGUGAAGCGGCUACAGCUCAAAUUUGAAAUCUGGCCUCCUUUGGGGGUCCGAGUUGUAAUUUGCAGAGGAUGCUUUGGCAUUGGCGGCGGUCUAAGUUCCUUGGAACAGGACAUCGCAGAGGGUGAGAAUCCCGUACGUGGGCGCCUGCCUUUGCCGUGUAAAGCUCCUUCGACGAGUCGAGUUGUUUGGGAAUGCAGCUCUAAAUGGGAGGUAAAUUUCUCCUAAAGCUAAAUACCGGCCAGAGACCGAUAGCGCACAAGUAGAGUGAUCGAAAGAUGAAAAGUACUUUGGAAAGAGAGUCAAAUAGCACGUGAAAUUGUUGAAAGGGAAGCGCUUGCAGCCAGACUUGCCCGCAGUUGCUCACCUAGGCUUUCGCCUGGGGCACUCUUCUGCGGGCAGGCCAGCAUCAGUUUGGGCGGUCGGAUAAAGGCCUCUGUCAUGUACCACCCCUCGGGGUGGCCUUAUAGGGGAGGUGUAAUGCGACCAGCCCGGACUGAGGUCCGCGCAUCUGCUAGGAUGCUGGCGUAAUGGCUGUAAGCGGCCCGUCUUGAAACACGGACCAAGGAGUCUAACAUCUAUGCGAGUGUUUGGGUGUCAAGCCCGGGCGCGCAAUGAAAGUGAACGGAGGUGGGAACCCUUCGGGGUGCACCAUCGACCGAUCCUGAAGUCUUCGGAUGGAUUUGAGUAAGAGCAUAGCUGUUGGGACCCGAAAGAUGGUGAACUAUGCUUGAAUAGGGUGAAGCCAGAGGAAACUCUGGUGGAGGCUCGCAGCGGUUCUGACGUGCAAAUCGAUCGUCAAAUUUGGGCAUAGGGGCGAAAGACUA
This 848-nucleotide ribosomal RNA is filed under the name Pseudopithomyces chartarum. Its description in RNAcentral is "partial 28S large subunit ribosomal RNA". It matches the Rfam family "Eukaryotic large subunit ribosomal RNA", at positions 69 to 933 of the family's 3401-position model. The record is from RNAcentral. Lineage: Eukaryota; Fungi; Ascomycota; Dothideomycetes; Pleosporales; Didymosphaeriaceae.